Molecule: transfer RNA, 73 nt
Filed under: Acanthothecis fontana
Lineage: Eukaryota; Fungi; Ascomycota; Lecanoromycetes; Ostropales; Graphidaceae
Description: tRNA-Asp
Rfam family: tRNA
About the family: Transfer RNA (tRNA) molecules are approximately 80 nucleotides in length. Their secondary structure includes four short double-helical elements and three loops (D, anti-codon, and T loops). Further hydrogen bonds mediate the characteristic L-shaped molecular structure. tRNAs have two regions of fundamental functional importance: the anti-codon, which is responsible for specific mRNA codon recognition, and the 3' end, to which the tRNAs corresponding amino acid is attached (by aminoacyl-tRNA synthetases). tRNAs cope with the degeneracy of the genetic code in two manners: having more than one tRNA (with a specific anti-codon) for a particular amino acid; and 'wobble' base-pairing, i.e. permitting non-standard base-pairing at the 3rd anti-codon position.
Source: RNAcentral
GGGUUAGUAUUUUAAUCGGUAAAUUACUUCAUUGUCAUCGAGGUUUAUAUCGGUUCGAAUCCGAUUUAACCCG